RNAcentral lists this ribosomal RNA (1347 nucleotides) under metagenome. Its description in RNAcentral is "bacterial LSU rRNA". It matches the Rfam family "Bacterial large subunit ribosomal RNA", at positions 1564 to 2925 of the family's 2925-position model. The record is from RNAcentral.
UGAGUACGAGCUGCUACGGCAGCGAAGUGGGUGAUGUCAAGCUUCCAAGAAAAGCCCUAUACCCGUUAAGGCAUGAUGGCCUGUACCCGAAACCGACACAGGUGGGGUGGUAGAGAAUACCGAGGGGCGCGAGAUAACUCUCUCUAAGGAACUCGGCAAAAUGGCCCCGUAACUUCGGGAGAAGGGGUGCCACCGCAAGGUGGUCGCAGUGAAGAGGCCCAGGCGACUGUUUACCAAAAACACAGGUCUCCGCUAAGUCGCAAGACGAUGUAUGGGGGCUGACGCCUGCCCAGUGCCGGAAGGUUAAGGAAGCUGGUCAGCGUAAGCGAAGCUAGCGACUGAAGCCCCGGUGAACGGCGGCCGUAACCAUAACGGUCCUAAGGUAGCGAAAUUCCUUGUCGGGUAAGUUCCGACCCGCACGAAAGGCGUAACGAUCUGGGCGCUGUCUCGGAGAGAGGCUCGGCGAAAUAGAAUUGUCUGUGAAGAUGCGGACUACGUGCACCCGGACAGAAAGACCCUAUGAAGCUUUACUGUAGCUUGGUAUUGUGCUCGGGCUCGGAAUGCGCAGGAUAGGUGGGAGGCAUGAACCAUUGCUUGUGGGUGAUGGUGAGCCACUGGUGAGAUACCACUCUUUCCGAGCUAGAGUUCUAACAGCCACCCGUUAUCCGGGGGCUGGACAGUAUCAGGUGGGCAGUUUGACUGGGGCGGUCGCCUCCUAAAAGGUAACGGAGGCGCGCAAAGGUUUGCUCAGGCUGGUUGGAAAUCAGCCGACGAGUGUAAAAGCAGAAGCAAGCUUGACUGUGAGACCUACAAGUCGAACAGGGAGGAAACUCGGCUUUAGUGAUCCGACGGUUCUGCGUGGAAGGGCCGUCGCUCAACGGAUAAAAGUUACUCUAGGAUAACAGGCUGAUCUCCCCCAAGAGUUCACAUCGACGGGGAGGUUUGGCACCUCGAUGUCGGCUCAUCGCAACCUGGGGCUGAAGUCGGUCCCAAGGGUUGGGCUGUUCGCCCAUUAAAGCGGUACGCGAGCUGGGUUCAGAACGUCGUGAGACAGUUCGGUCCAUAUCCGGUGCAUGCGCAGGAAUAUUGAGAGGAUUUCUCCCUAGUACGAGAGGACCGGGAGGAACGCACCUCUGGUGUACCAGUUAUCGUGCCAACGGUAAACGCUGGGUAGCCAUGUGCGGAGAGGAUAACCGCUGAAAGCAUCUAAGUGGGAAGCCCACCUCAAGAUGAGUAUUCCCAUGGGGUAACCCAGUAAGGUCACGGGAAGAACACCCGUUGAUAGGCUCUACGUGGAAGCGCAGUAAUGUGUGAAGCGGAGGAGUACUAAUAGACCGAGGGCUUGAA